Long non-coding RNA from Patiria miniata (bat star), 2153 nucleotides. RefSeq lists it as uncharacterized. Lineage: Eukaryota; Metazoa; Echinodermata; Asteroidea; Valvatida; Asterinidae. The transcript is spliced from 3 exons. The record is from RefSeq and is a predicted model, not a curated record.
UUGAAAUGGGAUUAAAGACGUGCAUUUAAAUUCAGACUAAACCGAAUGACCGAUUUUUCAGAAGUGAAUGAACAUUUUAGGAAAUUGGCCGGGAAAACCUAUAUUAUUAGACUUCACCACAAUCAUCGUUGUUUUUAUUUAUGUAUAUGGAGGUAAACCUUGGCUUACAGCAAGAAGGCUGGAAGAAGAUGGUACGAGCGUCUGGGGAAAUAAUCGUCUCAUCCAAGGCUGAGUAGUGAGAACAUCUCAGUGCUGGUGCAUGGGCAUUGAGGAGGUGAGACGAGAGGGCGAUGAGAUCAAGGGUGUAAGAUUACUGGGGUUUCGUUGACGUCUCCUGGCAGAAACAUCUUUGGAGACAUUGGCCUCGAUUUCGAAGUUAUAUUGAAAACUCGUAGUAAAAGUAUUAAGUAAACUGCAAUUUUAUUUAAAAUACAUCUUAUGGGCAUUACAGAGUGGUGUAUUCUUACAUAUCCUUUUUUUUUUUUUAAGUUUUUUUUUAAUUGCAAAAUAACCAGUUAUUCCAGAUUUUGUAUUCUUGGAAUGUUCAAAAACUCAAUUGGAUUGUAACUUGAUUAAAAUACUUUCAAGUAUUGCGCCUGAUGUAAGGAGUAAGACACAUCUUGUGAAAACUUUUGAAAAAUAUUAUUUCUCCAAAUCUUUAAAAUUCUGGAUGAAUGAAUACUGAAAUGUGUCCUUCUUGCAUCGAGAGGCAUUUCUAAGUCGUUUACAGAAAAGUCAUUUUUUUGACAAGAUUUCGUAAAAAAUGCAAGGUUAACCCCUUGCAUUUCCCCCCAAUUUUGGCUGAAAAUUAAAAUUUCUCCAACUUGCAGGAGAGAUGCCCAAGGGUCCCUAAACCACAUUCCUGUACAUUUCCUAGACAGUUAAGAAAUUAUUUAUCAAUUAUUUGAGGGAAAAUGGCUAAAAACAAUAUUUUCGUCUACUAAAAAUGUAAGACCUUUGCCCAACUUAUCAAAAUUAUGCAUGAAUGAAUAGCGAAAUGUGUUUUCCCUAGCAUCCAGAGGUAUUUCUGAGUCUUUUGCAGAAAAGUCAAUUUUUUGACCAGAUUUUGUGAAAAAAAGUAAGGUUAACCCCUUGCAAUUUUGUUCAAUUUUGGCCAAAAAGUAAAAUUGCUCCAAACUCGCAGAAAAGACGCUCAAUGGUCCUUUAAAUGCAUUCGUACAUGUUUCCUUGAUAGAUGUGCCAUUCUAGAGAAAUAAUGCGUAAUAAACAUUUGGGCAAAAUCAGUCAAAAUUGAACUUUUCUACUCAAAAAUUAUUAUUUUCACCCAAUUCUUUAAAAUUUGGGAUGUAUGAAUUCUGUGUUCCUCUUGCAUCAAGGGGUACUUGUGAAUCGUUUGCAGAAAUGUCAAAUUCUGACAAAAUUUUGUGAAAAAUGUAAGGCUAACCCCUUGUAAUUUUUUCAAUUUUGGCAAAAAAAAAAAAGUUUCUCGAAACUUGCAGGAAAGAUGCCCGAAUGGCCCUUAUACGUAUGCCUACUAUUGUACACGUUUCCUGGACAGCUGUGCCAUUUGAGACUUAACAUUUUAAAGCAAAAUCAAUAAAAAAUGGUUGUUUCUCUCAAAGUAUUUUGGGCCCAAAUCUUCAAAAUUUUCUCUGUAUAAAUACUGGAUUGUGUUCCUCUUGCAUCAAGAGGUAUUUCUGAGCUGUUUGCAGAAAAGUCAAUUUUUGACCAAAUUUUGUGAAAAGUGUAAGGCUAACCCCUUGUAUUUUCUUCAAUUUUGGUCGAAAAAUAAAAUUACUCAAAAUUUGCAGGAAAGAAGCCCAAGGGUCCCUAAAACGCAUUCCUAAACAUUUCAGUCGUUUGCAGAAAAUUCAACUUUGACAAAAUUUUGUGAAAAAUGUAAGGCUAACCCCUUGAUGUUUUGAAAAUUUUGGCCGAAAAAUUAAAUUGCUCAAAACUUGCAGGAAAGAUACAUAAGGGUCCCUGAAACACAUUCCUACACAUUUCAGUCGUUUGCAGAAAAGCCAACUUUGACGUAAUUUUGUGGAAAAAUGUAAGGCUAACCCCUUGCAAUUUUAAUGAAAUUUGGUCCAAAAUGGACUUUUCUUGAAAUAACACGGGAUCACCUGUUGAUGUAAGCUAAACAUGUUUUAUUCUUCUUAGCUUUUUAUUUCGAACAUUUGUGCAAAAAA